GUAUACAUAUGUUGUUAAGCUUCUCACAGUAGUGAGUCAAUAUGAUGUUUACACAUGUGUGUCUUAUUUAUUUCACUUAUGUAUGGUCUCAGGUUGCUUUCGUUUACCUAUAAAAGUUUCCUGUUUAUCCUUAUGACUGAGUAAUACUCUGUUGUAUAAAAAUACCACCUUUUUUUAUUCAUCCUUCAGUUGAUGAGCAUUGAGGUUGUUUCCAAGAGCUAGCUACUACAAACUGUGCUGCUGUAAACGUAGCUGCACAUAUAUCGCUGUGGUGUGAAUUAAAAAAUUCUUUUGAUAAGAUACCCAGAAAGCGAAUAGGUGGGUUGAAUGGGACUUUUAGUCUUGUUUUUCUGAGGAAUCUCCACACUGAUUUCCAGUAGUGGUUGUACCAGUCUACACUCCCACCAACAGUAGAGAAGGGUUCUAUUUUCCCCACAGCCCCUCCAGCUUUUGUUAUUGGUUGAUUUUUUGGGGGGGGGUGCUGGGGAUCAAACUCACAACCUCGCAUAUGCCAGGCAGGCGCUUAUGAUGCUGAGCUAAAUCCCCAGCAUGACUUCUUGAUAAUAGCCAUUCUUAGCAGCUGGACAUGGUGACAGGCCUGUAAUCCCAGCACUUGGGAGGCUGAAGUAGGAGGAUUGUUGCCAGUUCAAGACCACCCUGGGCUACAAAGUGAGCUCAGGCCAACCUGAACUGCAUAGUGAAACCUUGUCUCAAAAAGACCAAAAAAUAGGGGCUGGGGAUUUAGCUCAGCAGCAUAAGCACCUGCCUUGCAAGCGGGUGGUCAUGAGUUUGAUCCCCGGUACCAAUAAAAAGAAAAAAAAAUGUGCAGAAAGACCAAAAAAUAAAUAAAUAGAUAAAAGAUAAUAGCCAUUUUUUUCCAGGGUGAGGUGGAAUCUCAGUGUUUUAAUUUGCAUCUUUUGAGUGAUCAAUGAUGUUGAACAUUUUUUCACAUAUUUAUUUGCUGAUUAUAUUUCUUCAUCUGAGAAGUGUGUAGUCAUCUCAGAUGGGCAUCUCUUAUUAACAGGCCUUCCUUUAGACUCUGGGAAUGCAGCAUUGAACACAAAAGUCCUUAAGUGUUUGGCUUCUCCUUUUAGGCUCUAGAGUUUUUAUUCUAAUAGAAAAGUCAGAUAGUGCCGGAAAUAUGUAUAUAACAUUCCUGAGAUAAUCAUUAUGGAAGGAAACUAAGCAAGGUGGGGGUGAAAGUACAUAGAAAAUUCUAGAGAUGGAGCACAAUAUGAGUUUUAUGUCAAGAACCAGGAAAAGCCUCCUUGAUAAGGUAACAAAGCAGAGUAACGAGAGAGCCAGCCAUGCCUGGGAGAAGAGCCUUCGAGGCCAAGAGCAGCAGGUUUCAGCAGGGCUUGGCAGUAGCCGAGGGGCUGGUGAGACAGGUGAGGACUGAAGGGGGAGACAGAGGUGCAAGAUGCAAUGAAUUGAGUGCAUUAAACCAAAGUUUGGAAAAUUAUUGUCAAACUUUACAAUGAAAAAGUACUACUCUGAGCCAAGCAUGGUGUGUGUUGUAGUCAGAGUUUGCAAGGGAAUAGAUUUAGUACACGACACAUGAUUUAUAGGAUUUUAUAACAUUCACCCAAAAAGUGAAAUGCAGAAGAGUGCCCGAGUUCUGUCUACUCACUAAAGACCCGAGAAUCCAGAUGAGAGCCUCAAUCCCACGACAAUGUCCUGCACGAGUUCUCCUGAAACUUAGGAGCAGCCGUUCUGGUGAACCUUGGUGUCUGAUUUAGCUCAGCGGCACAAGUGCCCACCUGGCAAGUCUGAAGUUGUGAGGUUGAUCACCAGUACAAAAACAUCUCUCUUCCUCCCAGAAUCACAUUUUGCGGGUUCUGGAAAUUGAUUUAAUUUGAGGGCUUACAUUUGCAUUGUCCACUGAGCUUCUCCCAGCCCAGCCACAGUUAAAGUAAAAUAAAAUUGUGGUUAGAAAGUCACAUAGAUCAGCCACUCCUCUGUCCAUCCCUUCCCAUUCCUCUUUUACAGAGAUGAAGAAAAGUCAUGUUUUGUGCUUUUAGUUCAUUUGGUAAUUACCUCCAUGUCUCCAUGUUACAUGCAUUUGUUGAUUUUUUUCAUUUUAGGUAUUUUUUUCUAAGGAUAAUAUGGUACAUCAAUAUCUUAAAUAUCUUAUGGUACUUCAAAUUUAAUUUACUAACUUUACACCAUUUUAUUUCCUCCUCCCUUCUUCUGCCAUUGUGGUUAAAACUCAAUGCAGUAUGUUCCUCUAUGUAAAAUCUAUAUUUGUAAAUUUAAGUAACUGUUAAACAUCUUGUUCUGUCAAACUCCAGACAGUGUUCUUGAUCCCCCGCACUGUAAGUUCAGGGCUUUAUUUCAGUGAUUCUGGCCUGUUCUCUACAAUUCCUUCCUUCUCUGUAUCCUUAUUAAAAGAGGGUCCUGUGGCUGGGGAUUUAGCUCAGAGGCAUAAGUGGCUGCCUUGCAAGUGUGCAGUCAUGAGUUCAAUCCCCGGUACCAAAAAAAAAAGCGGGUCUCACCUGUCCACCUGGAUUCCCAUGAGUGUCUAUGUAAUUGAAAGAAGGGCUGUCCCUACCCCUGCCUCUCUUCAGGUACAGAUGGAAUCUCCCCCAAGGAAGCCUUUUGGAACCUCACUCAGAACUGAGAUUUGUCUACAAUCCUGUGAAGGAAACGAUAACCUAAGUGUCCCUGAAUGCUAAACCCAAAGUACCUUUGCCCUUUAACUAGAGGGGAAAACAGUCAACCUUUCCCUAAAACAAGCACUGGUUGUUUACUCUUCCCAUGCCCUUUCAGACGAAAGGCUGUAAAACUGCUUUGGUAAUAUAAAACUACUAGAAUGUUUGACAGAAUUAGUGUCAAUGCAGUGAAUUUUCAGGAUCAUGUAGGUGAAAUUUAUUAGUUCUCCUUGAAUUUCAUGUUGAUAAGUAAGCUGCUCAUUCAUCUGGAGAGGAACUGUGUGUAUCUGCUGUCUGAGGAGCCACUGCAGGAGGUAAGGAACUGGGUAGAGAAACACCCCUGCCCCCUAGUGGGGACUCGGGUUGGAACAUCGCACUCAAAGGGGAGAAGACAUGAAAGGCAUUGGAUUGGUACAAAGCACCUCUAGCAGACGUCCUGUACCUGGAGACUUCCCUUCCUGCCUCCUGUGGGAGAAUCAGAAGAACUAAAAGAACAGUGGCCAGGGAGAUGCUGUAGGUGACAUCACCAAGCCUCCACAUGAGAUGGCGGCUGCAAAGAAAGUGCUACAGAUGAGUAAAGUGACGGCCAGCAGUGGGGCUGCAGCAAAGACCCAGGGACAAGGCCAGGAGGUUCAAUAAUGACAAAGUCACGAUGGCUCGGGGUCACUGCACAGCUGCUGGCUGGGAGACUGGUAUGGGGCUCGGUGCAGUUUGACCCAGGGUAAAUUAACCAGGACACUCAGAACGGCAACUUAGAAGUGAUAAUACUUACAGAGCACACACAGUUGUGCAUAGGCAUAGGAUGGGGCUCAUUCCAGGGCACCUGUGGGUACUGCAGCUUAAAUGUGCUCAAAUCUCUUAUAUAAGAUGGAACAGUAUUUGCAGAUGACCUAUGCACAUCCUCCUAAGUAUUUUAAAUCAUCUCUAGAUCACUUACUCUGUAAGUAGUUGGUUUACUGUAUUGUUUAAGGAAUAAAAACAAGAAUAAAAAUCUUAUAGUAUGUGCUUAGUACAAAUAAAAAUUUUACAGAUAUUUUCUGUGAUUGGUUGAUUUCAUGGAUGCAAAAGCCCCAGAGCACAGGAUAGGUUGUCUCAGGUCCUGGUGGUGCUUGUAUGUUAUCUCAUUCUUGGUCAUUUAACCAGGUGAUGAAGUAGAGCCUAAAUAUCCCAAAGUCACAGAGCUAAUGGGACUUAGAACCAAGAUUCCAACACAAAGCAAAGCACUGUGACCCCUGUAGCCAUUCUCUCCAAUACUAUGUUUUCCUGUUUCCUUCGGGGAGGAAGGAGCAGGGGUUCAAGCACUCUAACCCUACUGAGAUGUGUAUGGAAAGAUGGCUGUUUUUUUUUUUUUUUUGGUCUUUUUCCUUUUUAUCGGUACCAAGGUUCGAACCCACGACUGCCUGCUUGCAAGGCAGGUGCUUAUGCCGCUAAGCUAAACCCCCAGCCCCUGAAGGAUGGCUGAUAAUCGGGACUCUAGCCCCAGAUCUGCUACCUACAUGAAGUAGGAUAUUUAGCCUCUCACGAGCUGGCUUCCUCAGUUAUCCAAUGGGGAAACGGUGGCUGUCUCAUAAGUUGCCAUGGAGAUUCACUGAGAUGAUGUGAGCUUCUGCACGUGGUAAAUGAGGUAGAUGACUGACAGAGAUGGUCUCUGGCUGUGGGAAGCCGCCUAUGAAUGGCGCCCAUUUCCUGCUUCCGGGUUCUUCCCGGCCUGAACAAGCCCGCCAAAUUGUCAUAUCUGCCCAGUUACCCAUGACGCUAGCCUAUCAGCUUGUUAGGCGCGCUUCUCUGUGAUUGGAUACUGCUUCCCCUUAUAAGAGGUUGUUCCUGCCCCCAACGGCGGAAGAGGAACCAACGUUGAGGGUGGCGGACCUUGUCAGGUCCGGUUCGCUGUACAUAAUAAAGUUUGAGAGCUGAUCCUGCUCGAGUUUGGUCUCCUGUCUCCCGCGGCUCCGGUCAUCUGGUGGCCCCCGUACGGGGAAAAAGGUAAAAGACUCAGCGACGUGCCUCUUCGGCCGGGAGGUGCGAUUGCUGUCGCCUGCGGUACGACGGAGGACCUGGCUCAAUAACAACGGAAGGCCGCGAGCGCCUCUUCUCUUCACCCUGAUCAGCUACGUGAGAUACAGCGGUUCCCGGGACAGGUGAGUACUGGGUCACCUGGGUUGGGUGGACGCACCUAACAGAUUUUGAGCGCCACACAAGUGGACGCCGGGUUUUUUUUUUCUUUUCUUUUCCCUUUGCAUCUGUUUUGCUUUCGCUUCGCUAAUACAGCCCGACAGGCUUUUGAUAGAGCUCGAUCGGAAUGCUCAGAGGAGCCCGGAGCCACUGCCGAUUGUGGGUCUCCGGAGGACCCUCAGGGCUCUAAUUCUGAUUCGGAUUCGGAAGGCUCAGAAGAGGAGGUCGUCUUUGCUAAGCAUGACCCUCCUACACCGUUAAAAGAGGAACUUAGGGCUCGGGAAGAUAAAAAGGGGAACCAAACACCACCCUGCCCGAGCUACUCCGCCUUACGGGAGGAGCUUAAGCCCUUCCGCUCCUUGGCAAGUUUGCGACCCAUGGUCGCUCCCUUCAGGGCGCCAGGCCCCACUGCACCGCCGUGGCCGGAAGAGGAGUUGCUCCCUGGGCUGCCACCACAACCUAUGGCACCGCCCUGGUUAAAGGGAGAGCUACUUCCUGGGUUGCCUUCUGUGCCCCCAUCUGGGGAGGGAGGAGGACGUUCCUUCCACCAGAGGGUAUGGUCGCGGCUUCCCUUUGAGUGUUCCGGUCUCCAUGCAUUCCCGGUACAAGUAGGAGGCAGGGGAGGAGGAGGAUAUUAUGAGCCCUUAGAAAUUAAACAACUUAAAACUAUCAAGGACGCAGUUUCAGCUUAUGGGCCCAAUGUGCCAUUUACCAUGGCGCUUUUAGAGGCAUUGGCAGGUCUGCUUUUAACUCCUGGAGAUUGGACCCAACUGGCACGCGCCUGCCUCUCCCCCGGACAAUAUUUAGAUUGGAAGUCCUGGAAUGAGGAAUUCUGUGUAGAGCAGGCGGCAGCCAACAGGGAAAAUAACCAGAGAGAGUGGAACAGGGAUAUGCUAUUAGGGCGAGGAGCCUUUGAGGAAGAUCAAACUCAAUACCCUCGCCAGGUUUAUGAACAAAUUAGCCGCUGUGGCCUCCAGGCCUGGAGACGGCUGGCUGGAAAGGGAGAACAUACGGGUCACCUUACAAAAAUUAUACAAGGGCAGGGAGAGCCAUUUUCAGACUUUGUGGCCCGCAUGCUUGAGGCCGCUAACAGGAUUUUUCCAGAUGCUGAGGCGGCUCACCCUCUCAUAAAACAAUUGAUUUUUGAACAGUGCACUAAGGAGUGCCGUGAUGUCCUAACAAAAAUAGGUCCUUAGAAGAGUGGACACGCCUGUGCCGUGAAUUGGGUGGCCACGGCCUAACGCCCAAAGGAAGAAUAUCAUUGGCACUCUUUACCAUAAAUUUUUAAAAUCUUAAUCACAAUAAUCAUUCCCCUGCCAUGGAGCACAAUAACCCGUCCCCGGCCGACAAAGGGCUGGUGAGAUGGAAAGAUGUCCUUACAGGACAAUGGAUGGGCCCGGAUCCAGUGAUUAGCUGGACCCGAGGUGCGGUUUGUGUCUUCCCACAGGAACCAGGCUGCGAACCGCUGUGGGUCCCGGAAAGAUUGACGCGAGCAGUAAACUCCCCACCAGUUCCUGAUAAAGCACAGGAGGAUAAGCCCGCGGACACAAGUCAACUCGACCGACGCUCAGCGCCCGAAAAUGUCUGGUUUGGAGCUUUUUCUAUUCUGUGGGUUCCUAUUAAUCACCCCUGUGAUAUGCUCAGAUUCCACAGAACCACCACAAUAUCUUUGGGGUCCUUGGCACCACCCGCCCACAUUGGCACCUUUUUCGGCGGCCUCGCCCGCCUCACCCAGGGUUUACACCAUCAAUCAAACAGUCCUUGAUUAUGCUAAUUGCCAUGGCUAUCCUAGUAGGGCUUGUGGUUAUUAAAUGCUUGUUAGAUCGCCUCAUACAAACUCAGCAGCAGGUUAAGAUCACAGCUAUGGCAGCCAUGCAAAUGGCAGCAGGUGGCCCAUCAGGCCAGCAGGCCGCCGCAUAUCUCCUUCACAUUGCAGAACAUCAGCUAUAAGAGCUGAGUGGGCAAGCCAAUGACAGGCUCCACUCAGAUAUACAUGGCCUAUAAGGCCAGGGGUCCCUCCCGGAGUCAAAUUAUUGGCAUUGAGAUGCGAGACCAAGGGUACUGCAGUGCCAUCCACCCCAAAGGUUGGGGGGAAGGCAGGAAUGAAUGUCUAUAUGCAUCCAGGUUCGGUUCACAAAAGCCUGGCCCUGCGAAAAAAUGAACCACUCACCUUGAGCAUGGUCCUGGCGCAAGGAUAUGCACAAAACAGGGUGAUGCACAGCAGGGUAUAGACCUCUACAUUCUCUCAUGCCUCGGCCUACAAGGUAGGCCCACUCCUAGGUGUCUAACAGCAACAAGGUCAUAGACACCUUGGAGGGACCCACAGACCAUCCUAUUUUAAUAAAUAAAAAAGGGGGAGUUGUGGGAAGCCGCCUAUGAAUGGCGCCCAUUUCCUGCUUCCGGGUUCUUCCCGGCCUGAACAAGCCCGCCAAAUUGUCAUAUCUGCCCAGUUACCCGUGACGCUAGCCUAUCAGCUUGUUAGGCGCGCUUCUCUGUGAUUGGAUACUGCUUCCCCUUAUAAGAGGUUGUUCCUGCCCCCAACGGCGGAAGAGGAACCAACGUUGAGGGUGGCGGACCUUGUCAGGUCCGGUUCGCUGUACAUAAUAAAGUUUGAGAGCUGAUCCUGCUCGAGUUUGGUCUCCUGUCUCCCGCGGCUCCGGUCAUCUGGCUGUUCUUAUCAUUGUUCUUGUUUUCAUGGAGCUUGAAGUGAUGGAGCCCAAGCUGGAGUGGAUAAGGAUUUCACCCAAGGCCUCACUCAUGGUCCCUUGUGCUGGCUCAGAGGUGCAGAGAUAGGAGCUUUUUGUGUGCCCUGCCUUCUCAGGAAUCAUGUCUGGAUCUUUGGCCAUCAUGAGAGGACAUAGUCACAGAUAUACCGGAGGAUCUCAGAAAAAUCUGUUGAAUGAAUGCAUGCAUAAAUAAUUCUGGGGAUGGAAUCUAGGACCUUGGACAUGCUAAGCAAGUGAUUUAUUGCUGCUACCUCUUCAGCCCAGUUUUUCUUAUUCCUAGCUGUAAUCUAGGCUGACUUCAGUGCCUUGCACAUGCUGAUCGAUGGACUGCUUGUGCGUGUGACAGAGGAAGGGAGGGAGCCAGAGGGGAGGAAAAGGAGGUCUUGUCAUGCGGUUCAUCUGGCCUUGAAAUCACUAGCCAGGCUGGCCUCAACUUGCUGUGAUCUUCUCAAGUGCUGGAAUUGUAGCCACCACACCCAGCCUUGCAUUUUAUUUAGAAAAGUAACAUACAGCAUGUUAACUUUCGGUGACUUAGAUGAAAUGCUUAAAUAAAUUAACUUAAAAGAAAAAAA
This is a long non-coding RNA of Cavia porcellus (domestic guinea pig), 8121 nucleotides long. RefSeq lists it as uncharacterized. NCBI's taxonomy places the organism in Eukaryota, Metazoa, Chordata, Mammalia, Rodentia, Caviidae. The transcript has 7 exons. The record is from RefSeq and is a predicted model, not a curated record.